UUCCUACGGGGGGCAACAGUGAGGAAUAUUGGUCAAUGGGCGGGAGCCUGAACCAGCCAAGUCGCGUGAGGGAAGACGGUCCUAUGGAUUGUAAACCUCUUUAGGCGGGGAGCAAUGCCGGGCACGCGUGCCCGGAGGGAGAGUACCCGCAGAAUAAGCAUCGGCUAACUCCGUGCCAGCAGCCGCGGUAAUACGGAGGAUGCGAGCGUUAUCCGGAUUUAUUGGGUUUAAAGGGUGCGUAGGCGGAUUUUUACGUCAGCGGUAAACUGUCCGGGCUCAACCCGGUCCGGCCGUU
RNAcentral lists this ribosomal RNA (295 nucleotides) under uncultured bacterium. Its description in RNAcentral is "partial 16S ribosomal RNA". It matches the Rfam family "Bacterial small subunit ribosomal RNA", at positions 336 to 628 of the family's 1533-position model. The record is from RNAcentral.